Molecule: ribosomal RNA, 1437 nt
Filed under: uncultured organism
Description: SSU rRNA
Rfam family: Bacterial small subunit ribosomal RNA
Source: RNAcentral
CUUAACACAUGCAAGUCGAGGGGCAGCAUGGUCUUAGCUUGCUAAGGCCGAUGGCGACCGGCGCACGGGUGAGUAACACGUAUCCAACCUGCCGUCUACUCUUGGACAGCCUUCUGAAAGGAAGAUUAAUACAAGAUGGCAUCAUGAGUCCGCAUGUUCACAUGAUUAAAGGUAUUCCGGUAGACGAUGGGGAUGCGUUCCAUUAGAUAGUAGGCGGGGUAACGGCCCACCUAGUCUUCGAUGGAUAGGGGUUCUGAGAGGAAGGUCCCCCACAUUGGAACUGAGACACGGUCCAAACUCCUACGGGAGGCAGCAGUGAGGAAUAUUGGUCAAUGGGCGAGAGCCUGAACCAGCCAAGUAGCGUGAAGGAUGACUGCCCUAUGGGUUGUAAACUUCUUUUAUAAAGGAAUAAAGUCGGGUAUGGAUACCCGUUUGCAUGUACUUUAUGAAUAAGGAUCGGCUAACUCCGUGCCAGCAGCCGCGGUAAUACGGAGGAUCCGAGCGUUAUCCGGAUUUAUUGGGUUUAAAGGGAGCGUAGAUGGAUGUUUAAGUCAGUUGUGAAAGUUUGCGGCUCAACCGUAAAAUUGCAGUUGAUACUGGAUAUCUUGAGUGCAGUUGAGGCAGGCGGAAUUCGUGGUGUAGCGGUGAAAUGCUUAGAUAUCACGAAGAACUCCGAUUGCGAAGGCAGCCUGCUAAGCUGCAACUGACAUUGAGGCUCGAAAGUGUAGGUAUCAAACAGGAUUAGAUACCCUGGUAGUCCACACGGUAAACGAUGAAUACUCGCUGUUUGCGAUAUACAGCAAGCGGCCAAGCGAAAGCGUUAAGUAUUCCACCUGGGGAGUACGCCGGCAACGGUGAAACUCAAAGGAAUUGACGGGGGCCCGCACAAGCGGAGGAACAUGUGGUUUAAUUCGAUGAUACGCGAGGAACCUUACCCGGGCUUAAAUUGCAGAUGAAUUACGGUGAAAGCCGUAAGCCGCAAGGCAUCUGUGAAGGUGCUGCAUGGUUGUCGUCAGCUCGUGCCGUGAGGUGUCGGCUUAAGUGCCAUAACGAGCGCAACCCUUGUUGUCAGUUACUAACAGGUUCCGCUGAGGACUCUGACAAGACUGCCAUCGUAAGAUGUGAGGAAGGUGGGGAUGACGUCAAAUCAGCACGGCCCUUACGUCCGGGGCUACACACGUGUUACAAUGGGGGGUACAGAGGGCCGCUACCACGCGAGUGGAUGCCAAUCCCCAAAACCUCUCUCAGUUCGGACUGGAGUCUGCAACCCGACUCCACGAAGCUGGAUUCGCUAGUAAUCGCGCAUCAGCCACGGCGCGGUGAAUACGUUCCCGGGCCUUGUACACACCGCCCGUCAAGCCAUGGGAGCCGGGGGUACCUGAAGUGCGUAACCGCGAGGAGCGCCCUAGGGUAAAACUGGUGACUGGGGCUAAAUCA